AUUCCAGCUCCAAUAGCGUAUAUUAAAGUUGUUGCAGUUAAAAAGCUCGUAGUUGAACUUUUGCUGUGGCGACCUUGCGACGCUUUGCUUUGCCUGUGUUGCUUCAGCAUCCUCCUUUGUAUUGCGCUUUAAUGUGUUACUUCAAUGGAGGCUUUACUUUGAGAAAAAUAGAGUGUUUCAAGCAGGCUGUGCCUUGAAUACUGCAGCAUGGAAUAAUGAGAUAGACCUGCAUUCUAAUUUCGUUGGUUUGGUUGAAUGAGUGAUGAUUAAUAGGGAUAGUUGGGGGCAUUUGUAUUCGACAGUCAGAGGUGAAAUUCUUAGAUUUGUCGAAGACAGACAACUGCGAAAGCAUUUGCCAAGGAUAUUCUCAUCA
This 373-nucleotide ribosomal RNA is filed under the name Apicomplexa sp. RNAcentral's name for it is "partial small subunit ribosomal RNA". It matches the Rfam family "Eukaryotic small subunit ribosomal RNA", at positions 582 to 975 of the family's 1831-position model. Lineage: Eukaryota; Apicomplexa. The record is from RNAcentral.